RNAcentral lists this ribosomal RNA (1000 nucleotides) under Arthrobacter sp. HBUM178338. Its description in RNAcentral is "bacterial SSU rRNA". It matches the Rfam family "Bacterial small subunit ribosomal RNA", at positions 31 to 1045 of the family's 1533-position model. Lineage: Bacteria; Bacillati; Actinomycetota; Actinomycetes; Micrococcales; Micrococcaceae. The record is from RNAcentral.
UAGCCCUUGGCGGGUGCUUACCAUGCAAGUCGAACGAUGAAGCCCUGCUUGCAGGGUGGAUUAGUGGCGAACGGGUGAGUAACACGUGAGUAACCUGCCCCCGACUUUGGGAUAAGCCCGGGAAACUGGGUCUAAUACCGGAUAUGACUACGGAACGCAUGUUUUGUUGUUGAAAGAUUUAUCGGUGGGGGAUGGACUCGCGGCCUAUCAGCUUGUUGGUGAGGUAAUGGCUCACCAAGGCGACGACGGGUAGCCGGCCUGAGAGGGUGACCGGCCACACUGGGACUGAGACACGGCCCAGACUCCUACGGGAGGCAGCAGUGGGGAAUAUUGCACAAUGGGCGAAAGCCUGAUGCAGCGACGCCGCGUGAGGGAUGACGGCCUUCGGGUUGUAAACCUCUUUCAGUAGGGAAGAAGCGAGAGUGACGGUACCUGCAGAAGAAGCGCCGGCUAACUACGUGCCAGCAGCCGCGGUAAUACGUAGGGCGCAAGCGUUAUCCGGAUUUAUUGGGCGUAAAGAGCUCGUAGGCGGUUUGUCGCGUCUGCCGUGAAAGUCCGAGGCUCAACCUCGGAUCUGCGGUGGGUACGGGCAGACUAGAGUGAUGUAGGGGAGACUGGAAUUCCUGGUGUAGCGGUGAAAUGCGCAGAUAUCAGGAGGAACACCGAUGGCGAAGGCAGGUCUCUGGGCAUUUACUGACGCUGAGGAGCGAAAGCAUGGGGAGCGAACAGGAUUAGAUACCCUGGUAGUCCAUGCCGUAAACGUUGGGCACUAGGUGUGGGGGACAUUCCACGUUUUCCGCGCCGUAGCUAACGCAUUAAGUGCCCCGCCUGGGGAGUACGGCCGCAAGGCUAAAACUCAAAGGAAUUGACGGGGGCCCGCACAAGCGGCGGAGCAUGCGGAUUAAUUCGAUGCAACGCGAAGAACCUUACCAAGGCUUGACAUGUGCCAGACCGGAUCAGAGAUGGUCUUUCCCUUCGGGGCUGGUUCACAGGUGGUGCA